GAUGAACGCUGACAGAAUGCUUAACACAUGCAAGUCUACUUGAAUUUGGGUUUUUUAACUUAGAUUUGGGUGGCGGACGGGUGAGUAACGCGUAAAGAACUUGCCUCACAGCUAGGGACAACAUUUGGAAACGAAUGCUAAUACCUGAUAUUAUGAUUAUAAGGCAUCUUAGAAUUAUGAAAGCUAUAUGCGCUGUGAGAGAGCUUUGCGUCCCAUUAGCUAGUUGGAGAGGUAACGGCUCACCAAGGCGAUGAUGGGUAGCCGGCCUGAGAGGGUGAACGGCCACAAGGGGACUGAGACACGGCCCUUACUCCUACGGGAGGCAGCAGUGGGGAAUAUUGGACAAUGGACCAAGAGUCUGAUCCAGCAAUUCUGUGUGAACGAUGACGUUUUUCGGAAUGUAAAGUGCUUUCAGUUGGGAAGAAAAAAAUGACGGUACCAACAGAAGAAGUGACGGCUAAAUACGUG
This 468-nucleotide ribosomal RNA is filed under the name uncultured bacterium. RNAcentral's name for it is "partial 16S ribosomal RNA". It matches the Rfam family "Bacterial small subunit ribosomal RNA", at positions 28 to 507 of the family's 1533-position model. The record is from RNAcentral.